This 1058-nucleotide long non-coding RNA is filed under the name Vulpes vulpes (red fox). Its description in RNAcentral is "lncRNA (ENSVVUG00000006113.1)". Lineage: Eukaryota; Metazoa; Chordata; Mammalia; Carnivora; Canidae. The record is from RNAcentral.
CUUUUUUCUUUUUUUUAAGAUUUGUUUAUUUAUUUCAGAGACAGUGCAUGUGCACAAGUGCGCAGGUGGGGGAGGGGCAGAGGAAGAGCAUCUUCAAGUCCCCAUCCCCCACUUGAUCCCAGGACCCAUGAGAUCUUUACCUGAGUAGAAACCAAGAGUCAGUCGCCCAACCAACUGAACCACAUAGGCACCCAUUCUUGUACAGUCUUAACUUGUGGAAUCUGCAGUAACUCUGGGUGGUUAGAGUCAGAACUCAGUUGAAUUCUGGAACACUUGGAAAAGUGGUUUUGGAAAAGAUACUGUAUUUGGUGUCAGGAGGCAAAAAAACCUUUCAUCUGAUGUCAAAAGUGUUGUGAAUAAAAAUAACUCACAGGAAACAACUAGGUCAUUUUGGAGGAUUCCAAACCAAUUUCUUGGAAGACCAGUUGAGGAUAGAAGCCCUUCUUCCCUGCUGUGUCCCACAUGGGUAGAUGGCAGACAUCUCUGUCCUCGCAUGGUCAUGGAAGCACAUGUGAAGAUAGAUGGACCUGGGAUGGAAUUGUUUCAUCAUUUCUUAGCAGCAUGGCCUUAGGAAAACUGUUUGACCUCACUAAGUGAGCUUGUUAUAAGAAUUAAACUAACACAUUCCUACCAUAGUGUUUCACACAGUGUGCUCAAAGUUAACUACAAACUACUGGCCAUCUAGAAAAUAGGGCUCUCUUUCUAACCAAGAUGUGUUUGGGUUGCCACUGCAAGGAGCAAACCUCCACUUUCUGCAUCCACAUCUAUAGUCAUCUGAACCCGUACCUGUCUCCUCCCCAUCUCAGAGUAGGGAGGCUAUUUGGUAGCAGUGGUGGAAGCCAUGGAUUGCUGUUGUAGUGAUGUGAUCUUGAAGCUGAAAGUCACUGGUGGCCCUCUGACUUCUGGCCCCUGAACCUUCCAUUGUUUAUAAGCACAUAAUUUCAUGAACUAAAUUCCUUUCUUUUUGAAAUACCUGGAAUGUAUUUUUAUUUCCUGCACUGAACUCUGAUGGGUACACAAACUCAAGAUCAUUUUAAUAAAGUCCCAGCUUUGAACCA